CCCCAGCGCGGAAUGAAAGUGAACGUAGGUGAGAGCUUCGGCGCAUCACCGACCGAUCCUGAUGUCCUCGGACGGAUUUGAGUGUGAGCAUAUAGGGUUGGACCCGAAAGAAGAUGAACUAUGCGUGUGUAGGGUGAAGCCAGAGGAAACUCUGGUGGAGGCUCGCAGCGGUUCUGACGUGCAAAUCGAUCGUCAAACAUGCGCAUGGGGGCGAAAGACUAAUCGAAUCUUCUGGUAGCUGGUUUCCGCCGAAGUUUCCCUCAGGAUAGCAGUGUUGAUCCCAGUUUUAUGAGGUAAAGCGAAUGAUUAGGGACUCGGGGGCGCUAUUUAGCCUUCAUCCAUUCUCAAACUUUAAAUAUGUAAGAAGUCCUUGUUACUUUAUUGAACGUGGACGCUGGAAUGAAACAACACUAGUGGGCCAUUUUUGGUAAGCAGAACUGGCGAUGCGGGAUGAACCGAACGCGAGGUUAAGGUGCCGGAGUGGACGCUCAUCAGACACCACAAAAGGUGUUAGUACAUCUUGACAGCAGGACGGUGGCCAUGGAAGUCGGAAUCCGCUAAGGACUGUGUAACAACUCACCUGCCGAAUGUACUAGCCCUGAAAAUGGAUGGCGCUCAAGCGUCCCACCCAUACCUCGCCCUC
RNAcentral lists this ribosomal RNA (643 nucleotides) under Acrostalagmus luteoalbus. Its description in RNAcentral is "eukaryotic LSU rRNA". It matches the Rfam family "Eukaryotic large subunit ribosomal RNA", at positions 707 to 1356 of the family's 3401-position model. Lineage: Eukaryota; Fungi; Ascomycota; Sordariomycetes; Glomerellales; Plectosphaerellaceae. The record is from RNAcentral. RNAcentral also lists the same sequence under 1 other name.